RNAcentral lists this ribosomal RNA (252 nucleotides) under uncultured bacterium. RNAcentral's name for it is "partial 16S ribosomal RNA". It matches the Rfam family "Bacterial small subunit ribosomal RNA", at positions 524 to 776 of the family's 1533-position model. The record is from RNAcentral.
UACGUAGGGGGCAAGCGUUGUCCGGAAUUAUUGGGCGUAAAGCGCGCGCAGGCGGUCUUUUAAGUCUUGUGUAUAAGCCCGAGGCUCAACUUCGGGAGGCAUGGGAAACUGGAAGGCUUGAGUGCAGAAGAGGAGAGUGGAAUUCCACGUGUAGCGGUGAAAUGCGUAGAUAUGUGGAGGAACACCAGUGGCGAAGGCGACUCUCUGGUCUGUAACUGACGCUGAGGCGCGAAAGCGUGGGGAGCAAACAGG